CCUACGGGCGGCAGCAGUGGGGAAUAUUGGACAAUGGGGGGAACCCUGAUCCAGCCAUGCCGCGUGUGUGAAGAAGGCCCUCGGGUUGUAAAGCACUUUCAGUGAGGAAGAACGCCUGGUGGUUAAUACCCAUCAGGAAAGACAUCACUCACAGAAGAAGCACCGGCUAACUCCGUGCCAGCAGCCGCGGUAAUACGGAGGGUGCGAGCGUUAAUCGGAAUUACUGGGCGUAAAGCGCGCGUAGGUGGCUUGAUAAGCCGGUUGUGAAAGCCCCGGGCUCAACCUGGGAACGGCAUCCGGAACUGUCAAGCUAGAGUGCAGGAGAGGAAGGUAGAAUUCCCGGUGUAGCGGUUAAAUGCGUAGAGAUCGGGAGGAAUACCAGUGGCGAAGGCGGCCUUCUGGACUGACACUGACACUGAGGUGCGAAAGCGUGGGUAGCAAACAGGAUUAGAUACCCGAGUAGUC
This 465-nucleotide ribosomal RNA is filed under the name Vreelandella stevensii. RNAcentral describes it as "partial 16S ribosomal RNA". It matches the Rfam family "Bacterial small subunit ribosomal RNA", at positions 338 to 795 of the family's 1533-position model. The record is from RNAcentral. Lineage: Bacteria; Pseudomonadati; Pseudomonadota; Gammaproteobacteria; Oceanospirillales; Halomonadaceae.